This 432-nucleotide ribosomal RNA is filed under the name uncultured bacterium. Its description in RNAcentral is "partial 16S ribosomal RNA". It matches the Rfam family "Bacterial small subunit ribosomal RNA", at positions 29 to 506 of the family's 1533-position model. The record is from RNAcentral.
AGCGAACGCUGGCGGCAGGCCUAACACAUGCAAGUCGAACGAACUCUUCGGAGUUAGUGGCGGACGGGUGAGUAACACGUGGGAACGUGCCUUUAGGUUCGGAAUAACUCAGGGAAACUUGUGCUAAUACCGAAUGUGCCCUUCGGGGGAAAGAUUUAUCGCCUUUAGAGCGGCCCGCGUCUGAUUAGCUAGUUGGUGAGGUAAAGGCUCACCAAGGCGACGAUCAGUAGCUGGUCUGAGAGGAUGAUCAGCCACAUUGGGACUGAGACACGGCCCAAACUCCUACGGGAGGCAGCAGUGGGGAAUCUUGCGCAAUGGGCGAAAGCCUGACGCAGCCAUGCCGCGGGAAUGAUGAAGGUCUUAGGAUUGUAAAAUUCUUUCACCGGGGACGAUAAUGACGGUACCCGGAGAAGAAGCCCCGGCUAACUUCGG